RNAcentral lists this small RNA (2165 nucleotides) under Pan troglodytes (chimpanzee). RNAcentral's name for it is "retained intron". Lineage: Eukaryota; Metazoa; Chordata; Mammalia; Primates; Hominidae. The record is from RNAcentral.
AUAUUGCUUAAACACUUGAGGAAAGAAGACCUAGAAGGCUUUAGGAAAGACAGAGUAAUAUUUUGCUGGUGUAGAGGGCCUGCUCUUCCGAGACAAGUACUUGCUUUUCAUUUUGAUCAGCCGUCUGCACUUAAAAGCCUCCUAGCUAGGGACAUGUUAAUUAAACAGUCUGGGGCUCAGUGCUGCCAUCCGUAAAUGGGAGGAUUAGAGAAAUAAUAUACACAAGUACCUGGUACAUACCAAAUAUGAUAGAAGAUAUCUUCAACCUUUAGCUAUAAGAAGAAUGGAAAAUGAAAAAGAGACAGGUGGAGAGACGGAGGGAGAUGAGAGCUGCAUGGAGCUGGUAUGCUGGUUAGGAGGUAGGAAAUAAUGAGGCCUCGACCAUCUGAGAUACAGAAGUCUCCCUGCUGAAUCGAAAGGAAGUGCUACAAUAUUCUUUCAAAUUCAUCGCAGUUGAGAGAAAACUGGAGCAGAGUGUCAUAUCAAGAAAGGGCUUCACCAGGAUGAUCAAUGCAAAUGGAUAUGGAGCUUUAUUGGAAUGAAACAUUAUCCCGUAACACCAGGUAUACAUACAUGAAGAGUGGCUUCAGGACUGGAUCCAUUGCUGUUUACAUGGGCCCAUUAAAUGGAGUUAUGACUAUUUUCUAGUUUAUGAACUGGGAAGUAACAGCCCUCCACAGAGAAACUGGAAGGGAAUUGCUAUUGCUCUGCUGGUGAUUUUAGUUGUAUGCUCACUCAUCACUAUGUCAGUCAUCCUCUUAACCCCAGAUGAACUCACAAAUUCAUCAGAAACCAGGUUGUCUUUGGAAGACCUCUUUAGGAAAGACUUUGUGCUUCACGAUCCAGAGGCUCGGUGGAUCAAUGAUACAGAUGUGGUGUAUAAAAGCGAGAAUGGACAUGUCAUUAAACUGAAUAUAGAAACAAAUGCUACCACAUUAUUAUUGGAAAACACAACUUUUGUAACCUUCAAAGCAUCAAGACAUUCAGUUUCACCAGAUUUAAAAUAUGUCCUUCUGGCAUAUGAUGUCAAACAGGAGAGCAAUGGAGACAGAGUUGCUUAUCCAAGGGCAGUCUAGCAAGUGGCAGAGCUGGGGUGUGAGUCCAGGCAGUUUUGUUCCAGAGUCCGUGCUCUUGGUCACCUUACUUUGAUGCAUAUUCUCCACCAGCACACUUUGAGAAACACCACAGUAAGGAAUACGCACACAGAUGUGACAACUGCCCCUAUAAAGCAAAUCAUUCCUGUCAAUUAUGGAUACCUGUCUCAUUUAUUGAAAACCUACUUUGUGCCAAGGACUCUGGUAGACAGACAAGUUUUUUAAAGCAUUACAAAAUAAGUGUGAAAAACAAAAUCCUAAGUGAGUCUUGAUUAACCCAGUUGGGUCUCUCUGUGGCCUAAUGGUGGAACCAAAUGAUGUAGCAGAAGGAAAGCAAUGUUUCUGUGUUUCCAAAUGCUCAAACUGCUUCUGAGUACACCCUGGGCUCCAUCCAGUGCAGAACUUAAGAAUUUGCUCCUAUGUUUUUUACUUUUUCUUUUAAACCAGUAUUUAUUUGGAAACAAUUUCAAAUUGACAGAUAAUAUUUAAAGAAUAAGAAUAGUAUAAAAGACCUUCAUAUACAUUUCACUCAGAAUCACUGACCAUUAACAUUUUACCUCAUUAGGUCCAACAUUUGCAAAUUCUCUCUCUCUCAGUUUCUCUCUGUCCACAUAACAUAUAUACAUUUUUUAAAAAUUAAUUUUAAUUUUUGUUUUAAGCUUCAGGGUAUGUGUGUACAGGAAGUGCAGGUUCAUUACAUAGGUAAAUGUGUGCCAUAAUGUUUUGCUGCACCUAUGAACUCAUCACCUAGGUAUUAAGCCCAGCAUGCAUUGACUAUUUUUCCUAAUGCUCUCCCUCCCCCACUCCACCCCCUGGCAGGCCCCAGUGUGUGUUGUUCCCCUCCCUGUGUCCAUGUUUUCUCAUUGUUCAGCUCCCACUUAUAAGUGAGACCAUGUGGUGUUUGGUUUUCUGUUUCUGCCUUAGUUUGCUAGCUCUACCCAUGCCCCUGCAAAGGAUAUGGUCUUGUUCCUUUUUAUGGUUGCAUAGUAUUCCACAGUAUGUACACCAUUUUUUAAACAUUAGUGUCAUUAGCAUUUUCUUAUGGGGGAAGUACUGGUACUUUGUCCCAGC